Molecule: unclassified non-coding RNA, 288 nt
Filed under: Allobosea sp. TND4EK4
Lineage: Bacteria; Pseudomonadati; Pseudomonadota; Alphaproteobacteria; Hyphomicrobiales; Alloboseaceae
Description: Bosea sp. TND4EK4 Long range pseudoknot
Source: RNAcentral
AAGAUGAAGGCGAUGCACGGCUUCUUCGAGGAAGGCGACAAGGUAAAGGUCACCCUGCGCUUCCGCGGCCGCGAAAUGGCGCACCAGGAUCUCGGCGUGAAGGUGCUCGAACGGGUCAAGGUCGAUACCGCAGAGGUCGCCAAGGUCGAGAGCGACUGGCAGCUCGAAGGUCGCCAGAUGGUGAUGGUGCUGGCGCCGCGCUGAGCCGCGUCAGGCCUUCAGGCAGUAUGAUGAGCCCCGGCCUUAUGGUCGGGGUUUUUCGUUGUGCAACUGUGUAGCGGAUGCCGC